GACGAACGCUGGCGGCGUGCUUAACACAUGCAAGUCGAACGGAAAGGCCCUGCUUUUGUGGGGUGCUCGAGUGGCGAACGGGUGAGUAACACGUGAGUAACCUGCCCUUGACUUUGGGAUAACUUCAGGAAACUGGGGCUAAUACCGGAUAGGAGCUCCUGCUGCAUGGUGGGGGUUGGAAAGUUUCGGCGGUUGUGGAUGGACUCGCGGCUUAUCAGCUUGUUGGUGGGGUAGUGGCUGACCAAGGCUUUGACGGGUAGCCGGCCUGAGAGGGUGACCGGCGACAUGGGGACUGAGAUACGGCCCAGACUGCUACGGGAGGCAGCAGGGGGGAAUAUUGCACAAUGGGCGGAAGCCUGAUGCAGCAGCGCCGCGGGCGGGAUGACGGCCUUCGGGUUGUAAACCGCUUUCGCCUGUGACGAGGCGUGGGUGACGGUAAUGGGUAAAGAAGCACCGGCUAACUACGUG
RNAcentral lists this ribosomal RNA (468 nucleotides) under uncultured bacterium. RNAcentral describes it as "partial 16S ribosomal RNA". It matches the Rfam family "Bacterial small subunit ribosomal RNA", at positions 28 to 507 of the family's 1533-position model. The record is from RNAcentral.